UUAAACUUUUUUAAUUGUAACUCAGACAACUUCAAAAUUAGAGUAAAAAUUCUUCGGCGAGCACUCGUCCACUAGAAGUCGACGGCUACAAGUAGUCGUCUCGCCGAAGCAACAAGUCAAUAAACAUUGGGUUGGAGGUCCCUAAAAUUAGGGAGACUCGGUAAUGAUCCUUCCGUAGGUUCACCUACGGAAA
Molecule: unclassified non-coding RNA, 193 nt
Filed under: uncultured fungus
Lineage: Eukaryota; Fungi
Description: sequence contains ITS1
Source: RNAcentral